GAAGAAUAGGAAUCCCAUGUAAACCGGGCAGUGAACCUGGUGCCUUAACACUGCGCUCGCAGUCAGCUUCAUCAGCUUGGGAUAGCGCAUCAGGGUUCACCUCUAUGACUCCGUUGAGCACCGGGUUGAGCCUGUGGAUUUCUCCGAGGUAAAAUUCAACCAGCUGCCGGGACGUAAGCUUGUUUUGCUUGAACGCGAGCUGGAGAUCCUUGAUAGUUGCUUCUCUUAUUGGGAAUUCAUCGUCUGAUCGAUCGGUUGACAUGGCUAGAAGAAUCAGGAGUAGAUGUGAAAAGAAAGGAAAGGUCAAUGACAUAUUAUUAUUGGUAGUCUUUUGUUAAACAAUUUUAGGGGAAUAUUCCUUUAGAAUUGGCCGGGGGAGCAGCUGCGCGGUGGCAGCGCAGCUGCCCCAAACGGGUUUAUAAUUAUAUAUCACUUUUGCUUUGUUUGGCUUAGAGUUGUGACUUGUGAUGAGAUGGAAGAUAUUGAAUGCUCGGUCUAUUUGUACAACCGUGUUGCAUGUAACAUAUUGAGUUCUGUCCCAAAAAAACAAAAAUGUGCAACAUAUAUGUGCGUGUGCGUGUGUAUAUAUAUAUAUAUGUAUUGAGUCAUUGACGAUGCCGCGAUGAAGUUGACUUAAUAAUUAUCUUGAUAAGAGAAUACAUAGUUGAUUAAAUUUUAACCGUUAAUUGUUAUAAAUGUCAUAAUUAUUAAAAAAUAAAUAUAAUUAGGUCUCUAUUGAAAAUUUGAAUCCAAUUACGAUGUUCUAAUAAUAUUAUGUCUGGCGCGUACAUUUAUAAUAAGAUAUGAUUAAAAUUUAAUUAUUUGUAUAAUGACAAUCAAAUUUAAAGAAAUUGCAUAAAAAGGUAAACAAAUUCACAAAAAUACCCAUUUUGCAAAGUAUUUAUCUAUGACAUAUAAUCAUAUGAAUAUACAUUGCCUUCGAGGGCCUGAGAGUAGCACUUUAAUUCCUUUGUAUUUUCUUUAUUGUUAUUUUAUCUGUAGCAUGGUGUUUAUUCUUUUUACCAUUAUUUUGCACUAUUAAAUUCUUAUUAUAUCACUUGACCAUCUUUAUCCAUUGACAGAAUAUCUGAACCCUAAUUAACCAAAAAUAAAGAAAAAGGAACAGGUCAAUUCAAUCAUGAGUUUUUAAUUAAUUAGGUGAUUUUAUGAUAUUAAAAAAAUUGAUUAAAUGGGAUUUUCCAAAAAAGGGGAGCCAAUCACACCCACCAUAGUUAUUAACGUUAUAAUUUAUAUCAAUAAAAAAGGUUGAAUUUUAUUUGAUAGAAUCUAAUAGUUCAAGUUACCCCUGCAUUACGAUAGUGGGGGGUUUUCGAAAAUGGAUAUUCAAGACUUGAAUGAAGGAGGCUUCCUAAUUUUGGUAGCUUGCUCAAAGCCAUAGGCAACCUCAAGGAGCUUUGGCUCUGAACCCUUCAAUCCUCCAAAACAAAUGCCAAAAGGUUCACCAUCACCAGCAUAUACAGCAGGAACAUUGAUUCCUGGGAACCCACCGACUGCCAGAAGCGUAGAAACAGCAUAUCCUGGUGUCACCAAUGCGUCAAGCUUGUUCCUGGUCAUCAGCUUCUCAAAACCAUCUCUUGUAAACUUUUCUAAAUUCAGUAUUGCCGCCUUCUCUUUUUUGCCGAUUCCAUUUGUUGCUUCUGCUAACAGAAAGAAGUCCUGGCCGUAUUCUUUGAUCUUUUCCUGCAUGUAUGGUUAGAUACAUUCGUGUCAUCGGAAUUAUUACCAAAGUUGAUACAAUUACCAAGACAUGUUUGCAUGCUCAAAUGAUGAAGAGUACUUACCAAAUCUGAGAAUUUGUUAUUGAAGGCUAUAACCUCUGCCAAAGAUCGCAAUGGGGAAGUCACAAGCUCCUUGAGAUAUGCAUUUAUGGCCAACUUGAACUCUGCCAGCAUUGCUGUCGUUUCGUCAUUUGCUAUAGAAUUUAGUGAAUUAAUGUUGCCUAUCUCCAGAUGGUCUAUAACAAGUGCACCUUCCUGUCUAGAUUGGAGGAAAAUCAAGUGCAUUGACAUUCAUUCGAGUUAAAGAUCAAGUGUUUGAUGAAAGAGAAGAAAUGUUUGAUGAAAUGCCACAGUGAGACUAUUUCAGCAGUAAAAGCAUAAUUUGAAUUUGGCAGCAGAUGAAACUCUUACAUUAACAGAAGAAAAACAUUCUAGAAGAGUCUUGGAGGAUACAUGAGAACGUUGAAGAUAAAGGGCGGUGAUUCAUUGAGAACGAAGACGAAACCUCAAAACUAUUGUAUUAUCCUAGGCUUAAUCAGUUAAUCUUACCUGUAAAAUAGUAAAAUGGCUUUGCAUAUAAUGCCUGCAAAAGUAUGCUGGAAUAACGAAAAUAAUUUUGCUGCAUUUGUGCUUAUUUCAUUUUGUCUUUAGUUUAGUCACUUAAUUUACUGCAAAAGUAGGCUGGAAUAACAAAAAUGCUUUUAUGCAUAAUUCAACCUGAGUGUGUGCAGAUGGUGAUCAAAAACUUGAGCCAGUGGAGAGCCCUCGUCAAAAUUGAAGAAUGGAUUCCGCACAAUUCCCAAUCUCUUCCCUUUGAGUCCAUGAGGCCUAAGAAACUGUUUGUAGCCACCACGUGGAAUGUAUUCUGAUGCUGCCCUUGUUGCAGGAUCGUAAUGAUCAAAUCCUGCAAUGGCAUCUAGAACAUAAGCAGCAUCCGCUACAGUUCUGCAAAUAGGCCUGCAAGGGAAAAAAAAUGUUCCUUCAUUUGUCAAUUAAUGUUAAAUGCCAUCAGUUCAUAUUGGCAAAGACUCUACAUACCCAACGGAGUCCUGUCUAGGAGUUAUUGGGAUAACGCCGGCUCUGCUGGUGAGACCAAGGGUUGGUUUGAGUCCCACUACUGAGUUAGAACUGGACGGACAGAGAAUGGAACCAUCCGUUUCAGUUCCCAGUGACACGGCAGCCAAGUUUGCAGCUACUGAAAUUGCUGAGCCACUGCUUGACCCACAAGGAUCUGCUGAUAGAACAUAUGGAUUCUGCAAACAAUACCAUCACCAAAAUAAGUCCUAAUAUGCCAAAGCCAAACCUUGUUCUGUUGUCCAGUCCUCGUUUUCAGAUUAUAAAGUAGAAUUUGGUGUUGUCAUUAAUCCAUAUUAAAUCUCCAAAACAGUAGAAUGUGUGCUUGUCUCGUAGAAAACAAUAAUAGAAUAAAAAAAUUUAACAAAUCUACUAAGUGAGAAUAUUUACUUCAAAAUCGCAGUACUAGGUAGUUAAACACUUUAUUUAAAAUUACUAGAUAAAAAUGCUGCUUUGUCCGAAUUUUUUCUCUGAGUAAUCAGACACCAUCUUAGUCAAAUUUUCGGAUUGGUGUGGUAUUUGACUUAUUAGUUGGUUCCACUAGUAAAAUCUCUUUUGAGUAUAUAGUAUAAGAUAUUAUUGAAAACAAAUAGUAUUUGUUUAUUUACUACUUGUUGAUUAAGAUAAGAGGCCACGUGUUUCCAAUCAUUUUACAGAAUACAAAUUUAGUUUUAUUCUUUUUAUUUUUCCAAAAAAAUGGAAGGUAAAUACCAAACUUGCCUUAAUGGCAAUUGGUGUUUAUAGCAUAAAACCAAGUAGCUGACUAACUUUAAGCUCACCUUUCCCUGGCCACCCCUACCACUGAAACCACUGGGUGCUUUGGAGGAUCUAAAGUUAGACCACUCACUCAAGCUGGCCUUUCCCAAAAUAAUGGCACCAGCUUUCCUCAACUUCACCACCACACCAGCAUCCCGGGGCACGACUGAGCCGAGCAGAGCAUACGAGCCAGCAGUGGUGUUCAUCUUGUCCUUCGUUGCAAUGUUAUCCUUAAGAAGAAUCGGAAUCCCGUGCAAGCCCCGCAGAGAGCCUGCUGCCUUAACCUUGCGCUCGUAGUCAGCCUCAUCAGCUUGGGAUAGCGCAUCGGGGUUCACCUCUAUGACGCCGUGAAGCAGCGGGUUGAGCCUGUGGAUUUCUCCGAGGUAAAAUUCAACCAGCUGCCGGGACGUAAGCUUGUUUUGCUUGAAAGCGAGCUGGAGAUCCUUGAUGGUUGCUUCUCUUAUUGGGAAUGCAUGAAUGGCAUUACUCUGAGCUGAUAUGGCUAGAAGAGUCGGAAGGAGCAGAUGGG
Molecule: long non-coding RNA, 4098 nt
Filed under: Citrus maxima (pomelo)
Lineage: Eukaryota; Viridiplantae; Streptophyta; Magnoliopsida; Sapindales; Rutaceae
Description: long non-coding RNA (CMAX_LNC004176)
Source: RNAcentral